Non-coding RNA from Elaeis guineensis (African oil palm), 2673 nucleotides. The record is from RefSeq and is a predicted model, not a curated record. NCBI's taxonomy places the organism in Eukaryota, Viridiplantae, Streptophyta, Magnoliopsida, Arecales, Arecaceae.
CUUAACCCUGCGUAAGACCAGUCCCUCCCGUUUCCGCUUCCAGGAACAGCUCUCUCCCCCCACUUCAGCCUUCUUUGAAGCGGUUUUGCUUGGCGGUAAUCCGGCGCCUCUAUGGCCCGAGGCAACCAGGCCGUGCCGGUUCCCGCCGUGCCGGUUCCCGACGAGCUCCGGUGCCGGCGAUCCGACGGCCGGGAAUGGCGGUGCCCGAGGCGCGCCAUGGCCGGGGUGAGCUUCUGCGAGUACCAUUACCAGCUGGCCCGCCGCAACCAGGCCAAGCACAAGGGGCUGCUCAAAUCGGCCCCCACGCCCCGCCGGAAGCCCGGCCGUCCCCCCCGCUCCCGUCCGAAGCCGCCCGAUCAGCCGCCGAGGAAGCGGCGGAGGAAAGGGGAUCCCCCGACGGAGGGGCUGAUCGCGGUAGCGCUGAGGCGGCAGAUGGAGAGGAGGGAGAAGAAGAAAGGGGAGGCCGAGGGGCAGACAGAGGUGACAAGGGACCUCCCGAAUGGGGUAAUGACCAUCUCCCUGACUCCGGCGUGGGAUUCCGGCAAUGCCGGCCCGCCCUUGGACCGUAAGCUAGGGUUUCAUCAAUAUCCGUUCUUCAGGCGGUACAUCCGGUCCAAGAACGUGGAGCCACUCCCCCUGGGACCCCUGAAGAAAUUUCCUCGUGGUCAGGGUUUGGGAAGUGGACGAAAGAGGACUUGUCAAAGAUGUGGCGAGAGUAAGGUGGUUCGUAAGGUCUGGUGUUCGAGUUGCCGGAAGGAGUCCUGCUCGAGCUGCAUAAAGAAAUGGUACUCUGAGAUGUCUGAGGUGGAAGUAAAGAUAUCUUGUCCCAACAGUUGUGGCUAUUGUGAUUGCAAAACAUGCAUGAAUACUGGAGCUAAAGCUGGUGGGUGUAAGGAAUUUUCAACUGGUCAAACAAACUUCAUCCAAAUUAAAUAUGCCUACAACUUGAUUAAUCAGCUGCUGCCCGUGCUGAAGCAGAUAAGUCAAGAACAAAUUACUGAGCUGGAAAUAGGGGCAAGAAACCAAGAUUGUGGAUUUCGUCUUUGCUAGUCCGUUCUAAUACUGACUUGUGACUACAGUCUAAUGGAAUAUCGAUUUUUGGAACAGCAAUAACUGCAAGAAUUCAAUCAUUGAUUUUCUUCGAAGCUGCUCAAAAUAUCCUUGUAAACUUUGCUUAUGUUGUUGUCAAGAGGUACGUGGGGGAAAAAUACUUUAAAAAGUUGCAGUUGAUACCUUAAAACUUCACAAUAAGAUGAUAGCCGACAAGCGUGCUGGCAAGAUACUUUAUGGAUUGAGGCAAAAACUCUCCAUUAGAGUGCCUCAUAUGUCACCUUUGUCAACUAAACUUUUGUCACCUGACUGGAAAUCUGAACAUAGUGAGGGCAAUAUUUCUUGUCCAUCCAAGGAACUUGGUGGCUGCGGCAAUGGUCUUAUGAAUUUGGUCUUUCAUGUUGCCAUUCAACCGGUCUGAGGAAUUGGAUACAAGUGAUGAACAAAUUGCCAGUGGUUUUAAGUAUCCUGAAAAGUUGGAUGUUUUCUCUCACUAUUUGUCUCAUGUUAAAAUGAACAACAAACUUCGGUAGUUCCAUUCAAGUCUGCAGGAAGCCUUGGCUGCAUAGGUUGCACUGGUGAUUACGUGACAUGAUUUGCAUUAGCGAAGAUCUCAAACACCACCCUACACCGGAAUAAAGGCUGUUCCUAGUAUUUUUCAAAGCAUAAUAUUAACUGCCCAAGUUCCAUGCUUUUCUUGAAAAUCAGUGCCAAUAAUGCUGGUAAAGCUGCAAAAGCUGCUGAUUGCUCAGAUUUGUUGAGGUGAUCCCUUUCUCUCGCAACAUAAAAUUUCUGUUGCUUCGGGGUUGGAGGUAAAAUCUGGGGGAAAUAGCUGUCACAGAAGCUUUUCCUUUUUGCUGCAUUGCUUCAUGGAUGUAUUGUCCCCUUUAUUGCUUUUUAAUCACUUUCACAUAUACCCUUUCAUCUAAAUAAUCAAAUUUCCUGCUACAUAUUUUCAAGUUUUUCCCUCGUUUCUGAGAAAUGCAGGAACUCGUCUUAUAUGCUAUGUCAGUGCCACUUUUCUGCGUGAGUGAAUCUCUGGCAUUAUUGGAGCUGCUUUUCUUAGAAAUAGGAUAUGCAUAAGUUUGUGGCUAUACAAUUAAGAGUUGGGCAACUUCUAUCAGAUGAUCAAGUGAUCGUACAAGCAAAAAUGGCAAGAAAAGAAGUCUCAGAAACUACAAACAGAUGGGCAUGCGCACGCAUUCUGCCAAGCUGCAUGUAGGCAUGAAUGCAUGCUUCCGGUCACACAUGCUAGGAAAGUGGAGCCACGCCCUUAGGUGGAUCCCCAGUGGCAGAAUAUUUGUUGGUGGAAUAUAAUCCUAGUGACAAAAUUAUCAAGUUGCAAGUGGUUGUAUCAUUGGUAGAACAGUUUUUUUUUUUUGUGAUGCAAGGUUUUCAUUAUUUAAGGUUGACAUGGGCAGCUAAUCUAUUUGUGCGAACAUCAUUCUGGCUUUGACGUGGGUUGCAUGUUGAUUGUAUGAGCGAGAGGUUGUUGGGUGAGCACAGAAGAUGUACAAUCAUUUUUCUGUUUCAAGAGAUUUUCAGGGUUGAUGAUAAACUCCCCAGAUCUCAUUCUGGAAGUAGUUAAAUAAAAAGGUGGGUGGUGCCACACAUUCUGCGCCA